GCAGCCGUGGCCUGCGGUUAGGGCUUCGGGUUUGUAACCGAAGGGUUGCCGGUUCGAUCCCCGACCAGUAGGA
RNAcentral lists this transfer RNA (73 nucleotides) under Alosa alosa (allis shad). RNAcentral's name for it is "tRNA-OTHER". The record is from RNAcentral. Lineage: Eukaryota; Metazoa; Chordata; Actinopteri; Clupeiformes; Clupeidae.